GAGAGCAGCAGUGGCGGAGGUCACUGAGGCUGGCCACACCCUUCCCUGCAGUGGGCAGGGCCCUAUCUAACAGAUGCUGCAAUGAACCUGGGAGUGCAGAUUAUCUCUUUGAGACACUGAUUUCGUUUCUUUCCAUUAUAUGUCCAGAAGUGGAAUGACUGGAUCAUAAGGAUGGAAGCUAUUGGACUGACCUUGGAAGCCAUUUGUUGAAGAUGGCUGAGCUGCAUCAGUCUGGCUUGCUGAACGCCUGGGCGAAAGAGAGCCUGCCAUUGCAGCGAGAACACUAUCAACGCUGCAUUGCAUUUGAUCUGUUGUCCUGGCAUCUUGUAGGAAGCUGUGAGAAAUUUGCUUCAGUCUCCAAAGUACAGUUUUCUACAAAUAGCUGGUUUGUGUACUGAAGGCCUACGGCCAUUCCACAGAGCCAACUGCAGAAGAACAAAUACAUGGAUGGUUAGAUUAUUCAAGAGACAAGGCACACAUCUAUCAGCUUUACAAGUCCUGGCAAGCAGUCAAGACCCCAUGUUCCCCCACUCCCUUCAACAGAAUCAAAGGUAAACAUGGAGCCAGCUCUCAUUUAAAUAUGGAGCAUCGAGAUCUUGCCUCCACUUUCACAGUUGUAGCAGCAGAAGAAAAACAACAGUCGAAGUAAGAAAAAGGUUUCCUUGGCAAGGAUGCCAAACUAAAUAAUGACACCCAAAGCAAAAACAUGCUUCACUGAAACUAAACUUCAGUCAUUUCAGCCUGCUUAAAACAAAGCUUUUUUUGUGAUUUCAAAAGUGAACAUUGUCCUUUGCUCUGGCAGCCAUUUCUGUGUUUUUGAAUGAUCCAAUUAUGCAUAAAUCCCCGGCCUACAGGUCUUUCAGCACCUCGAUCCCGCAAGUGAUUUGAAAACAUGACUGAAAAUUUUUGUAUACAGUGCCUGCCCUUUUCUUCCUCUUGGCCUUUUGAAAUAUACACUUUGACUACA
Long non-coding RNA from Suricata suricatta (meerkat), 967 nucleotides. RefSeq lists it as uncharacterized. The transcript is spliced from 5 exons. Lineage: Eukaryota; Metazoa; Chordata; Mammalia; Carnivora; Herpestidae. The record is from RefSeq and is a predicted model, not a curated record.